UGCUGAUGUAAAAUGGUUGGA
Caenorhabditis elegans is the source of this 21-nucleotide non-coding RNA. The record is from Ensembl. Lineage: Eukaryota; Metazoa; Nematoda; Chromadorea; Rhabditida; Rhabditidae.